UGGUGAACCAGCGGAGGGAUCAUUACCGAGUUCUAAACUCCCAAACCCCUGUGAACAUACCUAUCGUUGCCUCGGCGUAUGCGCCCCGGGCCCCCCGGGCACCGGAACCCGGCGCCGCCAAAGGACCUAAACUCUUGUAUUAGUACGUAUUCUGAGUGACACAAGCAAAUAAAUCAAAACUUUCAACAACGGAUCUCUUGGCUCUGG
Molecule: unclassified non-coding RNA, 207 nt
Filed under: uncultured fungus
Lineage: Eukaryota; Fungi
Description: partial contains 18S rRNA, ITS1 and 5.8S rRNA
Source: RNAcentral